GAUGAACGCUGGCGGCGUGCCUAAUACAUGCAAGUCGAGCGAACGGACGAGGAGCUUGCUUUUCUGAUGUUAGCGGCGGACGGGUGAGUAACACGUGGAUAACCUACCUAUAAGACUGGGAUAACUUCGGGAAACCGGAGCUAAUACCGGAUAAUAUUUUGAACCGCAUGGUUCAACAGUGAAAGACGGUCUUGCUGUCACUUAUAGAUGGAUCCGCGCUGCAUUAGCUAGUUGGUAAGGUAACGGCUUACCAAGGCAACGAUGCAUAGCCGACCUGAGAGGGUGAUCGGCCACACUGGAACUGAGACACGGUCCAGACUCCUACGGGAGGCAGCAGUAGGGAAUCUUCCGCAAUGGGCGAAAGCCUGACGGAGCAACGCCGCGUGAGUGAUGAAGGUCUUCGGAUCGUAAAACUCUGUUAUUAGGGAAGAACAUAUGUGUAAGUAACUGUGCACAUCUUGACGGUACCUAAUCAGAAAGCCACGGCUAACUACGUG
Molecule: ribosomal RNA, 497 nt
Filed under: uncultured bacterium
Lineage: Bacteria
Description: partial 16S ribosomal RNA
Rfam family: Bacterial small subunit ribosomal RNA
Source: RNAcentral